Molecule: ribosomal RNA, 471 nt
Filed under: uncultured bacterium
Lineage: Bacteria
Description: partial 16S ribosomal RNA
Rfam family: Bacterial small subunit ribosomal RNA
Source: RNAcentral
AUGAACGCUGGCGGCGUGCCUAAUACCUGCAAGUCGAGCGAACGGACGAGAAGCUUGCUUCUCUGAUGUUAGCGGCGGACGGGUGAGUAACACGUGGAUAACCUACCUAUAAGACUGGGAUAACUUCGGGAAACCGGAGCUAAUACCGGAUGAUAUUUUGAACCGCAUGGUUCAAAAGUGAAAGACGGUCUUGCUGUCACUUAUAGAUGGAUCCGCGCUGCAUUAGCUAGUUGGUAAGGUAACGGCUUACCAAGGCGACGAUGCAUAGCUGACCUGAGAGGAGGACACGCGACACUGGGAAUGAGAGCCGGCCCAGAAUCGGACGGGAGGGAGCAGUGGGGAACAUUGAAAAGUGGGCGAAAGCCUGAUCCAGCAAUGCCCGGUGAGUGAUGAAGGCCUGAGGGGUGUAAAGCCCUGGUACCAGGGAUGAGAAUGACAGUACCGGGAGAAUAAGCUCCGGCUAACUCCGUG